Molecule: ribosomal RNA, 494 nt
Filed under: uncultured organism
Description: SSU rRNA
Rfam family: Bacterial small subunit ribosomal RNA
Source: RNAcentral
AGAGUUUGAUCCUGGCUCAGGAUAAACGCUGGCGGCGCACAUAAGACAUGCAAGUCGAACGGACCAAAAUGCAUUGUUUACAUUGCAAGAGGUUAGUGGCGGGACUGGUGAGUAACACGUAAGCAACCUGCCUAGAANAGGGGAAUAACACUGAGAAAUCAGUGCUAAUACCGCAUAAGCUAGUAGUACCGCAUGGUAUAGCUAGAAAAGGAGCAAUCCGCUUUUAGAUGGGCUUGCGUCUGAUUAGCUAGUUGGUGGGGUAAAAGCCUACCAAGGCAACGAUCAGUAGCCGGACUGAGAGGUUGAACGGCCACAUUGGGACUGAGAUACGGCCCAGACUCCUACGGGAGGCAGCAGUCGGGAAUAUUGCGCAAUGGAGGAAACUCUGACGCAGUGACGCCGCGUAUAGGAAGAAGGUUUUCGGAUUGUAAACUAUUGUCGUUAGGGAAGAAAAGGACAGUACCUAAGGAGGAAGCCCCGGCUAACUAUGUGCC